CAGAUUUGCAGAUCAGGCAAAUAAUACUUCUCAGAUCUAAGGAAGACCUCAGUAGGACAUCUGAGGAGCAGAGGAAAUCUGCCAGAUUCAUUUCCACCAUCUCUAUCAGUCUUCCAAAUAGAAGAAACAAAAAAGACACAGCGGAGGGAAAAACACUGAAAACUACAACUAACCUCAUACAUGAAGCCGUAAAGAACACAGCUAAUCAACACCACACAGAGCUAAGGGACGUGCUUUCACAAACUGACCAAUGUGGCGAAUCAACUGGUGAAUUAUUUAAGAAUGGGGAUGGGCCAAAAGCAAGCUUUUAUGAAGACAGUUUUACCACUUUGCAUCAAUGUGGGACAAAACCGGGACAAAAUACAGGAAUACAACACGACAUAGACCUUCAUGAACAAACACAAAUUGUCCACAACAACUCACAAAGACAUUCUACUCAUCCUGUUUGUGAGGUUCAAACAGAAUUCAACAAGGAAUCUGGAGCCAACGACUGUAGAGAGAAUGCUGCAACAACUCCACAAUACCACAGUAAUCUGACCUCCCUUGAAG
RNAcentral lists this long non-coding RNA (549 nucleotides) under Sinocyclocheilus grahami. RNAcentral describes it as "lncRNA (ENSSGRG00000052404.1)". Lineage: Eukaryota; Metazoa; Chordata; Actinopteri; Cypriniformes; Cyprinidae. The record is from RNAcentral.